CUUCGCAAAGGUAGGUGAGCUAUUGCCGGUGCUCUGAACAAGUUCCAAAUUCCUGCUUUAACUCCUGAGUUGAGCGUCAGGCCUGUCCAGCUGGUUUAUGAAAGAGUUGGGCCAAUUAAAGGUGGGAAUAAUUGUGGCCGUUAACGAAAGAAGGCUGCAGAUUGGCAUGCAUUUAUUACUUUCGGUGAAGGAUCAUCGAAAACCCCAGUGCAGGACUUUUUUUCAGGGGGGGGGGGGGGGGGGGGGGGGGGGGGGGGGGGGGGGGGGGGGGGGGGGGGGGGGGGGGGGGGGGGGGUGAUAUGUGUUAUUCUUCUGUGAUCAACAGAAAGUCUACUCCUACUGUCAGACAAGGCCAAGGCUUCGUAGGGCUGUGGACCGGGCUCUUCGCCACCACCCUUUGCAGCUCAAGUUUGCCCACCUGGCACACGCCCGCCGCUUGCUUGCCCUCUCCUUGUUGGUGCCAUCAUUACAGGCUGGCAUGGGGUGGCCUCAGGACCUUAAUGAUUGGUUGGUGCAGAAAGUAGUCUUGCAGGAACUGGGCCUCGACCCACAAAUAUUUGAUCUGGAGAUGGUUGCUCGGGAAGCUCGCAAAACUGCAACAUUGCAACUAUUGCGAGCAGCAGAUACUCCACAUCGGGCCAUGGACACUGCAGCCCCUUCUCCAUUCCUUCAGGCCUUUGGUCUCGCACUACGCGAUCGGCUUUUGCAGCUUGGGGGGGGGGGGGGGGGGGGGGGGGGGGGGGGGGGGGGGGGGGGGGGGGGGGGGGGGGGGGGGGGGGGGGGGGGGGGGGGGGGGGGGGGGGGGGGGGGGGGGGGGGGGGGGGGGGGGGGGGGGGGGGGGGGGGGGGGGGGGGGGGGGGGGACAGCCAUGGACCCUUCAUUUGACCCAGUGACUUCAAGCCUCAUUGCGACUAUUCCGCCCAAUCUGUGGGAUUCCUUGUUCUGGCAGCUGCCACCAGUUGUUCUCUCACAAGCCACUAAAAUCUACCCAAAGCUACGUGCAGCUUAUCGAGCAGAGCUCAUUCGUAAAACUGCAGAAAUCCAGGCCUCAACACCAUCCAGACAAAGCAAAUCCGGAGAUGCUUGGAAGGACUUGGUCGAUCGGUUUCAAGCAGAAGUGGACCAUGGUGACUGGGAAGUUGAACAGGCAUUGAUGGCAGAACAGUUCUCACGUGCAGCUUCGUGUUCUACCAGUUGUACCAUCUAUUCAGAUCUUCUGGGGGGGGGGAAGUUGAACAGGCAUUGAUGGCAGAACAGUUCUCACGUGCAGCUUCGUGUUCUACCAGUUGUACCAUCUAUUCAGAUCUUCUCGCUGAAUUGGCCACCAAAACCAGUUUAUCUUCUCACCAAAAUUCUUGUACGUGAAGUUUUCAAUCUGUCAUUCUUGUUUAUAAUAUUACUUGGACACAGGGGGGGGGGGGGGGGGGGGGGGGGGGGGGGGGGGGGGGGGGGGGGGGGGGGGGGGGGGGGGGGGGGGGGGGGGGGGGG
RNAcentral lists this long non-coding RNA (1488 nucleotides) under Eptatretus burgeri (inshore hagfish). RNAcentral's name for it is "lncRNA (ENSEBUG00000017495.1)". Lineage: Eukaryota; Metazoa; Chordata; Myxini; Myxiniformes; Myxinidae. The record is from RNAcentral.